CGCCAAUAGCCGACCGAAAAAAUGUAUAUAGAAAAUUACCUUAUUCAUGUGUACUAUAAGAAGAAAAUAUCGAUAAAAUGUGUGAAGUUUCUAAAGGGGGGUGGGGGGUCUCCAGAGAAACGAACAUAUGACGUUUCUCAUGGACAAAAUCGAUAUGUGAGGCUUCCCUAAGGGCAAUCACUAAUUAAUAUUUCGUUUCCGAAAUUUUUUUCCGGGACCUUAAUUCACCAAAACAAGGGCAAACAUUUUGAAAACAUAAUCUUUGACACAAUAUUCCAGAAAAUUUCACGUAUAUUUCAAUAUUACGUACAUUUCACCCGUAAUUCAUACUUUUUAAUCGUUGUACCUCAUAUUUUUUGGGUUAGAAUUU
Molecule: non-coding RNA, 370 nt
Organism: Paramuricea clavata
Lineage: Eukaryota; Metazoa; Cnidaria; Anthozoa; Malacalcyonacea; Plexauridae
Source: the annotation of a GenBank genome assembly